RNAcentral lists this ribosomal RNA (468 nucleotides) under uncultured bacterium. RNAcentral describes it as "partial 16S ribosomal RNA". It matches the Rfam family "Bacterial small subunit ribosomal RNA", at positions 28 to 507 of the family's 1533-position model. The record is from RNAcentral.
GACGAACGCUGGCGGCGUGCUUAACACAUGCAAGUCGAACGGCAAGGCCCUGCUUUUGUGGGGUGCUCGAGUGGCGAACGGGUGAGUAACACGUGAGUAACCUGCCCUUGACUUUGGGAUAACUUCAGGAAACUGGGGCUAAUACCGGAUAGGAGCUCCUGCUGCAUGGUGGGGGUUGGAAAGUUUCGGCGGUUGGGGAUGGACUCGCGGCUUAUCAGCUUGUUGGUGGGGUAGUGGCUUACCAAGGCUUUGACGGGUAGCCGGCCUGAGAGGGUGACCGGCCACAUUGGGACUGAGAUACGGCCCAGACUCCUACGGUAGGCAGCAGUGGGGAAUAUUGCACAAUGGGCGGAAGCCUGAUGCAGCAACGCCGCGUGCGGGAUGACGGCCUUCGGGUUGUAAACCGCUUUCUCCUGUGACGAAGCGUGAGUGACGGUAAUGGGUAAAGAAGCACCGGCUAACUACGUG